UUGUUACACAUAGAACAGGUGGUGAAUGAGUUUAAUAAUAUAACGUUCUGUAGGUUGUUACACAUAGAACAGGUGGUGAAUGAGUUUAAUAAUAUAACGUUCUGUAGGUUGUUACACAUAGAACAGGUGGUGAAUGAGUUUAAUGGUGGCUGUGAAUCUGUUCAAACUCAUUUCAAUUUGAAUCAUUGAAAAGAAAGGGAAUUACAAAUGAGGCCAUAAACUACAUAUAAUUUCAACUCAUCGCAAAUCUAAAACCUAUCCUUUUUUUCUCUUUAUUUCCCUUACCCAACAGUGUUUAUGUCACUAUAGACCUUGCGAAUGUAAUGUGUACAAAGUUAUUUGUUAAAAAAGACAACGCAUGUGCAUUGUACUAUUACAUACAAGUUCAAUCUUGUUCCCUUUGCAAAUGCGCAUUUCUACUUCGACAAAUGGAAUGGCGGACACAUAAUGGGGAGAAGAAAGAAGUUCAAUAAAUAGCACGUGUUUCUUGAUAUACAAUGCAUUGAAUCAGUAUCAAGACUCAGAACUUCAGGAAGGCAGUCGUUCUCCUGGUUACAAAUAUCAAAUAAUAAACAUAUAUUAAAGUAAAACAACAUGAAAUGCUGACUCGACAUAGUCUGCAAAUUAUAGGUAGCUUAUUCCACAAAGCUACAUAGUCUCGUGGCAUCUGGUAACUACUAGAGGACUGACUUCAAUAUGUAAUGGUCUUCGUGCUGUAAACUGUCAUUAAUUCUGUCAAAUAGGAUAAAAUGUGUCAUCAUGUAAACUAAUAGGAAAUUCCUUAAUGCCGAUUUCAUAAAACUUUGAGACACAGCAUUCGCCGUUAUGGAGAAGGUUGGGGGUCUAUAACAAAACAUAGCAGCUAUUUAGAUCAACGCAGUCUUGAAUAUCAUUUGAUCAGAGUUUUAACACCUCCUGGGAUAAACUAUUUGAUAGUCAGGGUAUUGAAUCAGAGCAGUCGAUCAUAAUACAGUUAUCAGAUAUCGAGAUCAUUUUGUACAUUGUCAUAAAAAGUUUGCUCAUGAUAAAGCCCUCGGAUUUAAAUACAGUGUUUCUUACUGAAUGGUUAACCAUAAGGUUCUUUUUGUGUAUCGUACUGCUGUUAAAAGUCCGAUCCAAAACAACCGACACUGAGAGAUAGAGUUGAAAUGGUUUGUUAUUGUAAAUUAUGGGUGAAACAGGAAAGUCACUGGAAAUAAUAGUUUGCUCAAUGACUUUAAAUGUUUUGUGAAUGUUGUUCUUAAAUUUCACCCUAAUAAUACUACUGGAGUUUCAUGAUUCUAUGGAUACAGCACAGAUAAUCAGGAAAAGCUGUAAAAAGUACCAUGAUCCACAUUGAAGUUUCGUAAUUAAUUUAUGUAACACAAAAAUCUGAAACAGGUGUAUAAAGUAUUCUUGUCUAAAUUGUAAUUCCGUGAAAUUGAUACAAUGCAAUGUAUGCUCUAUUUUGUAUUGCUUAUUGGAGUUAUGAGAUUGAUCACUGUUAGUUAUCUUCAACUGUCCUACUAAAACUAAUUGUGGGCAUGUGUGUAUCAGAAUUUAAAUUGUAAAUGUUUCAUUUAUGCCAUUAGUAUGAGACUAGUUCUCAAACGCAACAUAUUCUUUAAGAUCCCAUAUUCCAGAAUGAAUCCAGAGGGGUGGGUGCCCUAGAGGAGUGAACAUCCUCUGUUGACCAGUUACACCCUUCAGUAUGUAAAACAGUCUAACAAUUGGCAUGAAGCACAUCAGAUAACAUGUCACCUUACGACAAAUCAUUUUUUGUAAAUGAAUUAUCUAACUACCACCGAAUUUGCCAGAGAUGGGAUGUUGACAUAUAUAGCUAUACAGGGCAAAUGGGUGUGACCGAUCAACAUUUUGAUGAUCUUUGGCGACAUAGUAUUCCAUAAAUUUCAAUAUACUGUGUUCGUUUACAAUUUACCAUUUUCAAAUGUUCAUUUUAUGUUUAAUUAAAAUCCCUUCAAAUCAGACAUACAUUUCACAUUUAUAUUAAAGAAUCGAAGGCAAUAUAACUCUCACAAUGAAAUGUAUUCAGAAGGAUAUUUUUAUCAGACUCCUAAACAUUGGUAUUGAUAUUUCUUUAGUUUGGAGUCCAAACUUUAAUCAAUGAGUCUAAAGUUUGUGUCUUCAAUAGUAAUACCCCCCCCCCCCCGUUCAAUGACGUCUGAAAUCAGUUCUCUCAUUACAAUAGAGAACCUGUCUGUCACUAAACUAAUUAAUAUUAAUUAACAAUUUAACAAGGAACAGUCAUGCAAUACUGUUAUCAGAUGUCGAUGUCAUCUUGUGCGCUGUGAACAAUGAACUCAGUUGUCAUGACAUUUAAUUAAGCAAUACCCAGGUCUAUCCCAUAGUUCUCUUUGUUUUAUCAGUUUAAAUACACAUGCCAACAUCGAAAUAACUUCAUUGGGUGCCUGUACUUUAACAGAGUAUCUUAACAGUUCUAAGGAGAAGAACUAAAAAGCCAGGUAAGAUCUGACUUAUCUAUAGCUAUGUCUUACGUAUUUGUGUUAUUUUAUGCCAUUCUCAUGUUCCCCAGUAAGCGUAUAAGAUUUGACAUUGAUAUAGUGUGUAUACUAGUAUAAAUGGAGAUGUAAUACUGCGAAGUAAAACUAUUCCAUUCAAUCUGAGAUUGUAGAACAUUUAAACUUGCAUUUUCUGUAAACGAGUGAUUAUCGGCAUUUACUUUAGAUACUCGUGAACCAGUGUACAGCGAAUAAUUUUGUAAAUUUAUCUCCUGAAUUUAAUUUCCUUUGAAAAUAAACAGUUUCCAAAGUCCGGCAAGUCAUGUUUGUGUAAAAUGCUCAUGGUAGUGAUUGACUUGGUUGUCUGUGCGUGUGUAAAUUGGUGAUAUAAGUUUUUUUGUUUUUUUUUGUUUUUUUUUUACGUCCCAUCAAUAUUUUGUUUUCAAUCUUAAUGAGUAGCUACCAAGUGUAGUUUAAAUACCAGAAGUGUAGACCUUUCUAAGUAUUUAAGUACUGAGUCCCAAUCACCAGUAACAUUGUAAUAUACUCCCACACAUUAUAAUAUACUCCCACACAUUAUAAUAUACUCUCACACAUUGUCAUAUACUCCCACACAAAAUAAUAUACUCCCACACAUUGUAAUAUACUCCCACACAUUGUAAUAUACUCCCACAUAUUAUAAUAUACUCCCACACAAUAUAAUAUACCCCCACACAUUAUAAUAUACUCCCACACAAUAUAGUAUACUCCCACACAAUAUAAUAUACUCCCACAUAUUAUAAUAUACUCCCACACAUUGUAAUAUACUCCCACAUAGUAUAAUAUACUCCACACAUUAUAAUAUACUCCCACACAUUAUAAUAUACACCCACACAUUAUAAGAUACACCCACACAAUAUAAUAUACUCCUACACAAUGUAAUAUACUCUCACACAUUAUAAUAUACUCCCACACAAUAUGAUAUAUUCCCACACAUUAUAAUAUACUCCCACACAUUGUAAUAUACUCCCACACAUUGUAAUAUACUCCCACACAAUAUAAUAUACUCCCACACAUUAUAAUAUUUUAAUCAUUCGCCGUUAUAGGGGAGGCUGGUGGUUUAAAAAAAAAAACCCAGGUAUUUAGAUCAACGCAUUCUGAUUAAAAUAAGAUCUUUGAUCCGCUCCGUUAUUGUUAUGUCGCUACACAAUAACGGAGCGGAUCAAAGAUCUUAUUUUAAUCAGAUUGUAUUGACCACCGGCCUCAUAUCGACCACUUUUUUGCCAACCCUGCCCCGGGCAUAGACAUAUAACAGAUAUGUUAUCCGUUAUAUGUCUAUGUGAAUACAUACUGCAACUUUGCAUUCUGAACAAUUAAACAUACACAUUAUAUAAUUAUACAAGUCCAUAUUGCUCUUUUUCCAGCCAAUUGUGCAUUUACUAGUUCUGGUAUACAUGUUAUAACUGAUGAAUUUGAUUACAUCCCUCGGGCCCCCCAUUUUCAUCUUAACACUUUAGCUCCCCUCUACCCCCCCCCCCCUUGAUGUCCACUCCCCCAAAUCAAUGUCUACUUUCCGAUUAUUUGUUGGGGGUUGGACGAAAAUACAAUGAUCAUUUCGAUGUAAUGGAAUUGUGAAACCAGUAGGAUAAUUUGGUUCAGACAGUGAGUUUUGCAUUUCAUUCAUAGAAUAGCCCUACUUACCUGAUCUCACCUCUGAUAUGUCCAGGGAUCUAUGUUUGCCCUACUUUCAGUUUUCUAUUCUUCAUGGGAUUUAUGCGAUUAAUCGUUGUACAUUAUUUUCACUGGUCUACAUAACGGUAAGAAAUAAAUAAAGAAGUUUUUCCUUCAACGUAUCCGCUUCGUUUGUUUAUUGCCGCCAUUGUGCACUAGCAUUCCGGAUAAAUACUAACUACCGGAUACGUCUCUUUCAUUUCGCUCAUUUCCGCGCGAGACCAUGGGUUGUUUUCAUCUGCCCGUGUAGCACAUUCAUUUCGUAUGUAGGUAGCAUCAAUCAGCGGGGAACCAGUUUACAAAUAUUUAAAAAAAAUAUUGUCAAAAGUAUUAUAGCUCUUAAAAUAAAGGAUAUAUUCCAAUAUUUCUCCUAUAAAUUUUUUUAUCGAUUUUUUUAAUACUUUGUAAUUGAUUGACAACUUCCGUCAACAUCGGAUGAAAACACAGAAAAUGGAGGCCGGAGGGGCAGUGCAGUGAGAAGAUUCUGCCUUACUUAACAUUAAGUCAUUCUUAGGAGAACUUCUUAGUAGAUAAUAAGCAGGCUGACUCUUUAUAAAUUGGGAAGAGGAAGGAGUCGGAACUGAACAUUCUGGAGGGAGUGGCUUGUGCUGAGUUUUAUUUUUUAAGGAAACUUCCAUUCAACAUGUUCAACAACAGAAAAUCUGUGAAUUAACCCACUGUAGAGUGCCAAAAUCUGUUGCAACAGAAUAGUUGCAGAUUAAUCUAAUAGAUCUGCCUGUGAUGACCAUGAUUGGAACUAUAUCUUGUUUAGUAAAUGGACUUAAAUAAUGAUCAACUCCAAAAAGUACCCAAAACUGUUUCAACAGAAUUGCUACAGUAUAGAUGCCUGUGAUGACCAUGAUCGAGACUAAUAUAUUUUUGAUGAAGUGUUAAAGUGUAUACACAGACACAAACAUGGGCAUAGUUAAUUUGUUUUGUAUUAUAUAAUGUCCAUUAUGGGUUGAUUUCAUUGUCAUGUCAUAUAUUAUGAUUAUAGUUUAAAUAAUUUAUCUCCAA
Molecule: long non-coding RNA, 5186 nt
Organism: Ostrea edulis (European flat oyster)
Lineage: Eukaryota; Metazoa; Mollusca; Bivalvia; Ostreida; Ostreidae
Exons: 2
Source: RefSeq, a predicted model, not a curated record